UACGAAGGGGGCGAGCGUUGUUCGGAUUUACUGGGCGUAAAGAGCUCGUAGGCGGUGUGUCGCGUCGGCCGUGAAAACCUGCAGCUUAACUGUGGGCUUGCGGUCGAUACGGGCAUCACUGGAGUUCGGCAGGAGAGACUGGAAUUCCUGGUGUAGCGGUGAAAUGCGCAGAUAUCAGGAGGAACACCGGUGGCGAAGGCGGGUCUCUGGGCCGAUACUGACGCUGAGGAGCGAAAGCGUGGGGAGCGAACAGG
RNAcentral lists this ribosomal RNA (254 nucleotides) under uncultured bacterium. RNAcentral describes it as "partial 16S ribosomal RNA". It matches the Rfam family "Bacterial small subunit ribosomal RNA", at positions 524 to 776 of the family's 1533-position model. The record is from RNAcentral.